RNAcentral lists this ribosomal RNA (462 nucleotides) under uncultured bacterium. RNAcentral's name for it is "bacterial SSU rRNA". It matches the Rfam family "Bacterial small subunit ribosomal RNA", at positions 30 to 484 of the family's 1533-position model. The record is from RNAcentral.
AUUGAACGCUGGCGGCAGGCCUAACACAUGCAAGUCGAGCGGUAGAGAGGUGCUUGCAUCUCUUGAGAGCGGCGGACGGGUGAGUAAUGCCUAGGAAUCUGCCUGGUGGUGGGGGAUAACGUUCGGAAACGGACGCUAAUACCGCAUACGUCCUACGGGAGAAAGCGGGGGAUCUUCGGACCUCGCGCCAUUAGAUGAGCCUAGGUCGGAUUAGCUAGUUGGUGAGGUAAUGGCUCACCAAGGCGACGAUCCGUAACUGGUCUGAGAGGAUGAUCAGUCACACUGGAACUGAGACACGGUCCAGACUCCUACGGGAGGCAGCAGUGGGGAAUAUUGGACAAUGGGCGAAAGCCUGAUCCAGCCAUGCCGCGUGUGUGAAGAAGGUCUUCGGAUUGUAAAGCACUUUAAGUUGGGUAGGAAGGGUAGUAACCUAAUACGUUGCUACUUUGACGUUACCGACAG